Molecule: long non-coding RNA, 1173 nt
Filed under: Olea europaea (common olive)
Lineage: Eukaryota; Viridiplantae; Streptophyta; Magnoliopsida; Lamiales; Oleaceae
Description: long non-coding RNA (OEUR_LNC009677)
Source: RNAcentral
GCCAAUUUAAGCCUUGCCCCCGAGUAAGCCAAUUUAAGCCUUGCCCCCGAGUAAGCCAAUUUAAGCCUUGCCCCCGAGCAAGCCCCUUCAAGCCUUGUCUUUGACAAGCCAAAUAUAAGCCUUGCCCCAAGCAAGCACAUUAAAAAAGCCUUGCCCUACGCAAGCACAAAAGGCCUUGAUCAUAUGCUCAAGUGUAAACCAUUAAAGUAUCGCCCGGGGACAUACAAAAAUCCCACAUUAUUUUGACAGUCCUCGAGGAUAUCACAUUACAACUUUUUGAAGUUAGUGUGCUCGAGGAUUACAGUCCUCGAGGAUGUCACAUUACAACUUUUUGAAGUUAGUUGUGCUCGAGGAUUACAGUCCUCGAGAAUGUCACUUUACAACUUUUUGAAGUAAGUUGUGCUCGAGGUUCACAGUCCUCGAGAAUGUCACAAUUCAAAGUCCAGUUGUGCUCGAGAAUGUCACUUUACAACUUUUUGAAGUUAGUUGUGCUCGAGGAUUACAGUCCUCGAGAAUGUCACUCAAUUUUUAAAGUUGGUUGUGCUCGGGACUAUGGUCCUCGAGAAUGCCUUAAUCUUUAAGACUAAUUGUUCUCAAGGUUCACAGUCCUCGAGAAUGUCACAAUUCAAAGUCCAGUUGUGCUCGAGGAUGUCACAUUACAACUUUUUGAAGUUAGUGUGCUCGAGGAUUACAGUCCUCGAGGAUGUCACAUUACAACUUUUUGAAGCUAGUUGUGCUCGAGGAUUACAGUCCUCGAGAAGGUCACUCAAUCUUUAAGACUAAUUGUUCUCGAGGUUUACAGUCCUCAAGAAUGUCACAUCAUCAUAUUUUUAUUGUUGCUCGAGAAUGUACGUCUCACCUAUUAAUCCCUUAAAUACGCUCGAGUUGUGGAAUCCUCGAGUAAACACUUCAAUAUCGCGCGAGCAGUAAAGUUUCGAAUUUGAUUGCUCGAUUGUAUGGAGUCCAAGAGGUCGAGAUAAAUAGUUCGAAUAAAUUAACUAAACAUACAUAAUCCUCGAUCAAUUUACAUCGUCGAAAUUAAACAAAAAAUUACAAAGGAUCGGGGUGGGAAAGUCAUCCAAUGUGGCCAAGAGGAGGAUCGAGGUUGCUGAUGUCGAUCUCAACGUCGUCCUCAGGACCAUCCUCAUCAUCUCCACCAGAUCCUCCUCCAUC